Molecule: long non-coding RNA, 5735 nt
Organism: Physeter macrocephalus (sperm whale)
Lineage: Eukaryota; Metazoa; Chordata; Mammalia; Artiodactyla; Physeteridae
Exons: 3
Source: RefSeq, a predicted model, not a curated record
UGGAUGGGUUGACCCUUCAGCUUUUGAAAUGAACUUUGAUUGGUUUGAGUGAAUCAGUAAAGCCCAUCACACUGGCCAUCGUGAUUGGUUUGGGAAUGGGUCCAUGCCAUAAUUCCAACUAACGAGACAUGUUCACUGGAGGUGAACUAGGAAGCACAAAGUCUCAGACAUACUAUAUCAGUCUCAGUAUGAAGGCAGUGCUAUGGACAUCAGAGUCCUUGAUGACAGGGUUCAGGCUCUGGAUCAACCCAUCCACAGAGGUCGUGAGGAUGGAGCACCAUGUUGGGAUUAGUGCCCUUGUAAGAAAAGACGGAAGAAAGCCUCUCUUGCUCUCUCUGCCAUGUGAGGACAUAUGUGAUAAGGCAGCUGUUUGUAAGCCAGGAAGAGAGCCUCACCAGAACCUAACCAUGGCAGCUCCAUGCCUCUGAAAUGAUUCACAGGCAAGCUACCUUUGGGGGGCUCUGAGGGUGGCAUCGUCACCUAAAUAAAUGAAGAUUACAAAGAAGAACAAGGAGGAGAAGGGGAAGGAAAGAAAAGGAUGGUCCCUAGGCUUUGUGAUUCAAAAUAGGGGGAAUGGAUAAACAGAGACAAGACUGAAAAGGCGGAAGGAAAGGAGGAGAUGAACAAAAGACAGAACAGAAGAAAUGGAAAGUGAGGGGUUAAGACAGUGAGGAGCUCCAGAGCUGCUGAAAUGUAAGAAUCAGGCUCUGAGCUACUGUGCUGGGGAUACCAAGAUGAGUAGGCCAUGGUCCCUGCCUUCAUGAAGUUAAAGUCUGGUGGGAAAGACAGAGAAGUCUACACAAUUUUCAUACCUAUGAUAACUGCUACAACAGAGAUAUCUCAUUCGGUCGAUAUUUAUUAACAAUUUACAAGUUUUAGGCACUAGGAAUGUUACAGUGAGCUAGACAGACACAAUCUCUACCUUAAUGGAGCUCAUGUCCAAUGGGAGCCCCAAGUUACAAGGGACACAGAAGAGGGGGCCCUAAUUCAAACUGAGAAUCAUCAGUAAAGGACUCCCGAAGGUUCUGAAGCUUCCACUGAAUCUUUUUUUUUUUGUCUGUGUUGGGUCUUCGUUGCUGUGCACGGGCUUUCUCUAGUUGCGGCAAGCGGGGGGCUACUCUUUGUUGCGGUGCGCCUGCUUCUCAUUGCGGUGGCUUCUCAUUGUGGAGCACGGGCUCUAGGCGCGCAGGCUUCAGUAGUUGUGGCACGCGGGCUCCAUAGUUGUGGCUCGUGGGCUCUAGAGCGCAGGCUCAGUAGUUGUGGUGCACGGGCUCAGUUGUUCCACGGCAUGUGGGAUCUUCCCGGGCCAGGGCUCGAACCCAUGUCCCCUGCGUUGGCAGGCAGAUUCUUAACCACUGCACCACCAGGGAAGCCCCUCCACUGCAUCUUAAAACCUCAUAUCAUCCAGGCCCAAGAAGAGGGGAGAGUAAUCCUGGCAGAAAAGACAGCAUGGGCAAAGGCCCGGAGGUAUGAAAGAGAGCGUGGCACAUUCAGAGAACUGGCAACACCACAGCCAAGGGGGCUUCCCAAGAGCCCAACUCUUGGGAUUUGUCUAAUGGCUUCUCCCCUUCCUCCAUCCUCAUGCUUAAGGCCGCCUUUCCCCUUCCACUUAAUAACAGUCUUCAGGGUUCAGACAUGCACAGUUGUCUUCCAGCUCAUUCUACAAACCCAGAACGCCACUAUUCUGACACCGUUUAUACGGCAGUUUCAGGCGAAAACCUUCUUCCUCUCUUCAGACUGAGACCGCUUCCCAGACGCACCCCGUUUCCUCUUUUCUGCUCCCACCACCAGAAAAGGUCUCCAGGUGGCGCCCUUUCACUCAGUUCUGCUAUGGUCAGGCACACCCAUUUUCCCACCUAAUUUCCUCUCCACUGAAUUUCCUCCCCGCAAACCCCAGGGCUGGAACCUUAAUCUGAGGAAGAGGAUCACAGGAAGCAUAUUCAAUACACAAGCCAGUGAAGUUGUUCAGUUUGCGCCUCUCCCUUAGUUCAAGCAGCAGGGUUCAUUGUUAGCUCUCUCCUCCCUUCAGCUUCCGUUGCAGCACAUUGUGCCUCCUACCCAAGACUUCCCCAACUCCACCCACCGUAAGCUGGAUGGUCCCCACUCCUCGGUGAAGUUUUUCUUUUCACACAGACAAUGCGUGCUCAAAGAAUUGUUCCUCGGAUGAUUUGACAUCUGGACACGGAUGAGGGUACAUUUUUAAGGGGGAAAAAAAAAGAAUCGAGAUCCAACAUGCCAAUCCCUAUCCCCUGCUCUUCGCCUAAGAGAGAACCGGAAGGAUGUUUCCCUCCCGUAGACGCUGCUGUCAAGAAGCAAGCUGCUGAGAAUUCCCUGGUGGUCCAGUGGUUAGGACUCCGCGCUUUCACUGCUGAGGGCCUGGCUUUGGGGAACUAAGAUUAUGCAAGCCGUGUAGCGCGGCCGAAGAAAACAGCAAGCUGCUACUGAUCUCCUCAUGGAGUAACCUGUUUUAACGAUCACAACAAUCGUGGCAAUUGCUUCCCCCGACCGUUUCCCCUCCCCACCAUGUUUCUAGCCAUGCUUACUAACACUGAGGCAGGAAAAUAAGACCCCAACAGAAAGGUAGUGAGGAAUUGUUAUCAACGUUCCUGAGAGCAAAAGCCAGGCGUAAAUAAUCUUGGUAACCCACAUAGCACCUAGCACAGUGCCUUAUCUAGUCCAGGCGGAUUACUCUGUAUCAGACACAAAUAGAGCAAAAAAUACGUGAUGGAUUCCAGCCUACUCGGAGAAUGGAAGCUGCAGCAGUACAAGGCCAAUUCCAGGGUUUACCCUAAAGUCCAUUUCCCUGUUUAUUUCCACUUACUAUGUAUGGGUUGAGAAGGUGUUUCAAUUGCUCUAUCAGACAACGUUUAUUGAGCAUACGCUGCCUACUGGUGCUGUGACCCUGUGACUGGAUGAGAAUUCUCAUAGGGCCAAUCGGACAUAAGGACUUACCCUACUAAUGACAUAAACAACGCUUCUAAUGAGCUCUUCCUUAGCAUGCUUGUCCACUCGGGAAUAACCAAACUGCAGGGCAGUUAUGGAUUAAAGAUAGCUGUCAAUUUUUUGCUGCUUCUCCCAUUGUUAUGUGGAGUCUGAGUCCUCUUUCCUUGAAUCUGGCUGGCCUGAGUGACUUGCUUGACCAAUAGAGUGUGAUGGAAGUGAAGUAAGUUCUGGGACUUUCAAGACUACAUUAUAAGAAGCCUUGCAGCUUCCACCCAGACCUCCUGGAACAACUGCUCUGGAGUAAACCAGCCACUAUACAAGAAAUCUGAUUACCCUGACACCACCCUGCUGUUAGGAAGCUGGAGCUGGGAAAGGGCAUAUGGAAAGAUACUUUACCAGCCCAGCUUUACACGAGUGAAGAAACCUUCAGAUGGCUCUAGACUCAGCUGUCAUCUGAUAGUCACUGAAUGAAGGACCCCACGUGAGAACCACCCAACUGAGCUUAUCAACCCCUAGAAACAUCAUAGAUAAUGAUAAAGUAUUUGUUCUUCUAUACUACAUCAAAAACAAACAACUCUGGCUAGGUAAGUUAUUAUCAUUGGGGGAAGCUGAGUGAAGUGUACAUAGGAAAUCUCUGUAGCAUUUUGCAACUACUUAUGAAUCCUAAAUUACUUUUUAAGUUAAAAUGCUAGUGUCUUGAUCUGGAGAAAAUCUAUUUUGAAAGAACUAAAGACAGCUGGAGAUUUUCCCUGAGCCACAUUCCAGAUGCUGACAAUGCCAGCACUGGCUGCAGCCAACAGGUGUGUGUAACUACAGCCCUAAGUACAUUUGCUGGCUUUGAAAGCUCUGGGGAAGGCUCUGACCCCCCACCCUCCCAAUGCCAGUGACUCAGCCUUAAUCCUAAUGUUUCAAUCAUCACAUUCGUGUCUCCUACUGGGGAAACACCCAGCUCUUCCUUCUACCUAGUGAGGAAAGAGACUGCGUCAGCUCUUCGUUUUUCAAAGUCUGACAUAAUGAUAUGAACAGGCAUGAAAUGUCACCCAGCGAAAGGAGAUUUUCUCUGCUAGCAUUUUUUUUUAAUACCUCUUUUCUUUGGUUCAAAACAAAAAUCUCAUAACAAACAAGUGAAUUCAUGUCUUCAUUCUGCAGUGCUUUAGUGAUAUCCCCCCUUCUCUAGCUCUCAGGGAGACCAUGCACCUCACAGAGACUAAUUUUUCUCCCCUCUGAACUAGGCACUGUUGGCAUAUGGAAGUGUGAGAGACAAAAGACUAUAGUGGAAAAGCUUUGGACUUUAAUGACCUGGGCUGACAUCUCAGUUUUGCCAUUUGCAAUACAGCCUUGGGAUAGUUUUUCAUUCUCUCUGAGGGGCAAGAAAGGUCUCCUUACAAACCUCAGGGACUUGUGAAAAUCUCAAGUGAGUGCAGUGCUUUGUCAACCAGUGGGCCAGUGAAGGCUAUUAUUAUCACAUACCAUUGUGUAGCUGGAGGUCAGAGAAGGAAGAGGGAACUGGGCAGGAGCUGUCAGGGGGGACUUGAUGGAGGACAUGGGUCUAAAGUGGACCUUGGAGGAAGGAAAGGAUUGGGAAAGGCAGAAAAGGCAUUCCUCCCAAGAGGAACUGAGGAAGGGAUUAUAUCCUGUGGGGGAGGGAUGAAAGUAAGGAAACUUGACCUAACCUGUGAGAGUGGUUUUGAUUGAGAAACCAUAUGAAAAACAAGUUUAGGGAGAUAAAAGUUCCUCAGAUUGGAAGUACCUAGAAAAAUAAAGGUGUAGGAAAGGGGAAAGGUACUGGAUGAAGGAUGCUCACCAACUUCUUACCUGCACUGUACCACAGAAUAUAUCCCAUUCUUCUGAAAUAUUUAUUGCUCUCGUCUAUACUGCAAAACCACCAUAGUGAACCAUGUUGGAGAAUCGAAAUUAUGACAGUAACGAUGUAAUCAAACAGUUAGAUUGAUGGAUACAAUGUGUAGGGACGAGGUUCUGAAAUUUAUUCUUUAUGAUCUCAGAAACAAAAUGAUGUUUAUCCAGUGGGAUGUCUUCUAAAAAAUGUAACAAAGUGUCUUCCUACUCAGAAGUUUCUAGGAAAGGGAGCCCUGUACCUUUCUUUUCUUUCACACACUGAUCUACCCCAGGGCUAAAUCAGCACACUAAGAAGAAAGGGCAGCAUGUGUCCCUACACAGCCCUUCACCAAGAUUCCAUCCAGCUAGAAUCUCCAUAGCUCCAGUCUGUGAUAUUCUCUGACCAUGGACAUCUUGCAACUAUUUUUGCAUGGGUUCUUCCAAGACACUAAAUAAAUCUCCUUACAGGGUAAAGACCAUGAAUCAUGAAAAGAUCUCAUUUUUUUGUAAAGUGGUUCCUAAUGUUUCUUUGGCGUCUUAUUACUUUUGGGGGACCCCUUUUGUUUAACCUAAGCUUCUUUCUCAUAAAAAGGAAAUAACCUGAAGAAUCUGGUUGAAUGCUAGAGAAAUGCAAGGUAUGACAAAUGUAAGAGGAAAUUCAGACAUAUUGUGGCUAAAGACCAUUUCAAAAGAAUCAUGUUAAGACCUCAAAAGCUGCUGUCUCUCCUGUCCUUGCAAGAAUCAUCCAACAAUUUUUUUUUACAAAAUUAUGGCUAGUCUUUGUAUUCAAAUUACUACUUGCAAAGCUACAGAGCCAAAAUAAAUAAAAUGAUUUCAAAGUGAGAAAAACUUCGUUGAUGCCCCAAGACUUGAAGUCUGUGAUUGUAUCUUGUUCUUUUUGUAUUCCUGUUACUUAGCACAAUAAGUGUUUGUUGAAUGAAUAAAUGAAUACAGUG